Molecule: long non-coding RNA, 202 nt
Organism: Notothenia coriiceps (black rockcod)
Lineage: Eukaryota; Metazoa; Chordata; Actinopteri; Perciformes; Nototheniidae
Exons: 2
Source: RefSeq, a predicted model, not a curated record
AUGGCAAAGGGAGAGGGACUUAAGUGAGAGUGAAAACACAAGUAACCUACUGUAUGGCAGGUGGAGGGGCAGUGAUGUUACAGGUGGAGGAGCAAAACUGCAAGACUGCAAACUCACAAGACAGAGAAAUCAAAGUUUGUUCUCCAGAGAAGAGGUUGAUUUCACUUCAUUUAUUUCAUAUUUUCUAAAGAUGUGGAAAUGG